GCUGGAUUAGCUCAGUUGGCAGAGCGGCUGUUUCGUACACAGCAGGCCGUCAGUUCGAUUCUGACAUCCAGCUCCA
This 76-nucleotide transfer RNA is filed under the name Caudoviricetes sp. Its description in RNAcentral is "tRNA-Thr". It matches the Rfam family "tRNA". From Rfam's summary of the family: Transfer RNA (tRNA) molecules are approximately 80 nucleotides in length. Their secondary structure includes four short double-helical elements and three loops (D, anti-codon, and T loops). Further hydrogen bonds mediate the characteristic L-shaped molecular structure. tRNAs have two regions of fundamental functional importance: the anti-codon, which is responsible for specific mRNA codon recognition, and the 3' end, to which the tRNAs corresponding amino acid is attached (by aminoacyl-tRNA synthetases). tRNAs cope with the degeneracy of the genetic code in two manners: having more than one tRNA (with a specific anti-codon) for a particular amino acid; and 'wobble' base-pairing, i.e. permitting non-standard base-pairing at the 3rd anti-codon position. Lineage: Duplodnaviria; Heunggongvirae; Uroviricota; Caudoviricetes. The record is from RNAcentral.